This 253-nucleotide ribosomal RNA is filed under the name uncultured bacterium. Its description in RNAcentral is "partial 16S ribosomal RNA". It matches the Rfam family "Archaeal small subunit ribosomal RNA", at positions 474 to 727 of the family's 1478-position model. The record is from RNAcentral.
UACCUGCAGCCCGAGUGGUGGCCGUUAUUAUUGGGCCUAAAACGUCCGUAGCCUGCUCAGUAGAUGCCUGUGUAAAUCGAACGGCUCAACCGUUCGAACUGCGGGUAGACCGCUGGGCUUGGGACCGGGAGAGUCACGAAGUACUCCGGGGGUAGAGGUGAAAUUCUGUAAUCCUCGGGGGACUACCGGUGGCGAAGGCGUCGUGAUAGAACGGCUCCGACGGUGAGGGACGAAGCCCUGGGGCGCAAACCGG